AGGACGAACGCUGGCGGCAUGCCUAACACAUGCAAGUCGAACGAGAUUCAUUCGGUAGCAAUACCGGAGAAGAUCUAGUGGCGAACGGGUGAGUAGCACGUGAGCAACCUGCCCCGAAGACCGGGACAACACCGGGAAACCGGUGCUAAUACCGGAUAUCCCCACCAAUCCACAUGGACUGGUGAGGAAAUGGAUUCCGCUUUGGGAGGGCUCGCGGCCUAUCAGCUUGUUGGUGGGGUAACGGCCUACCAAGGCUUCGACGGGUAGCUGGUCUGAGAGGACGAUCAGCCACACUGGGACUGAGACACGGCCCAGACUCCUACGGGAGGCAGCAGUGGGGAAUCUUGCACAAUGGGCGCAAGCCUGAUGCAGCAAUGCCGCGUGAGGGACGAAGGCUUUCUGAGUUGUAAACCUCUUUCAGCAGGGACGAUUAUGACGGUACCUGCAGAAGAAGCUCCGGCCAACUACGUGCCAGCAGCCGCGGUAA
Molecule: ribosomal RNA, 487 nt
Filed under: uncultured bacterium
Lineage: Bacteria
Description: SSU rRNA
Rfam family: Bacterial small subunit ribosomal RNA
Source: RNAcentral